Molecule: ribosomal RNA, 305 nt
Filed under: uncultured bacterium
Lineage: Bacteria
Description: bacterial SSU rRNA
Rfam family: Bacterial small subunit ribosomal RNA
Source: RNAcentral
CCUACGGGGCGCAGCAGUGAGGAAUAUUGGUCAAUGGGCGCGAGCCUGAACCAGCCAAGUCGCGUGAGGGAAGACGGUCCUAUGGAUUGUAAACCUCUUUUGUCGGGGAGCAAAAGAUGCCACGCGUGGCGUUCCGAGAGUACCCGAAGAAAAAGCAUCGGCUAACUCCGUGCCAGCAGCCGCGGUAAUACGGAGGAUGCGAGCGUUAUCCGGAUUUAUUGGGUUUAAAGGGUGCGUAGGUGGUUAAUUAAGUCAGCGGUGAAAGUUUGUGGCUCAACCAUAAAAUUGCCGUUGAAACUGGUUGA